This is a non-coding RNA of Potamilus streckersoni, 76 nucleotides long. The record is from the annotation of a GenBank genome assembly. Lineage: Eukaryota; Metazoa; Mollusca; Bivalvia; Unionida; Unionidae.
UGCUCUGGUGGUUUUAUGUGGCUAGAGCGUCCGCCUUGGAUGCGAGAGGUCGCAGGUUCGAACCCCGGUCGAGUCA